Long non-coding RNA from Chelonia mydas (Green sea turtle), 524 nucleotides. RefSeq lists it as uncharacterized. NCBI's taxonomy places the organism in Eukaryota, Metazoa, Chordata, Testudines, Cheloniidae. The transcript is spliced from 2 exons. The record is from RefSeq and is a predicted model, not a curated record.
UAUUUGUCUGACUCCUCAGAGGACCCUGUAUUGAACGACUGCCCACUGGAAUCCACUUCCCAAAGACUGGGUGGACACAAGUCUCUAUUUUAGGUGACUUCGGUUCUGUAGCUGCUGUGCAUAUAGAAGCACCAGAGAGAUUGGAAGAGGAAAACAAGCUUCCAUGUUUUUUCAACUCCUAAUUGGUUUCUUAACUUUGAAUUAACUAGCUAAUGAACUGAACUAUGUGAAUGAAAUGAAGAAAAUAUUCUCUACAACUUCAGAAGAGGUUACUGCUGUCAAAAUCUGGGCUAGCACUACAACAAUCCCUGGUUCCAGAGGCUAAGCCAAUGACUUCCACCAGUUCAGUGAUUUGACUUUAUUUAAAACUUUGCAGCAAACAUGUACUCUUUGAAUAUAUUUUUUAUUUAAAUAGCUUAUGGUAAGUUUGGACUAAACAUAGGUUGUCAUAAUUUCAAAUUUAAUUUUCUGUUUAUUUUUAAAAAUAAAAGGUAUUUAAUUUAAAUAAAAUUCCAUUAUAUAUA